This 449-nucleotide ribosomal RNA is filed under the name uncultured bacterium. RNAcentral describes it as "partial 16S ribosomal RNA". It matches the Rfam family "Bacterial small subunit ribosomal RNA", at positions 29 to 523 of the family's 1533-position model. The record is from RNAcentral.
AACGAACGCUGGCGGCAUGCCUAACACAUGCAAGUCGAACGAAGCCUUCGGGCUUGGUGGCGCACGGGUGCGUAACGCGUGGGAAUCUGCCCUUUGGUUCGGAAUAACAGUUGGAAACGACUGCUAAUACCGGAUGAUGACGAAAGUCCAAAGAUUUAUCGCCAGAGGAUGAGCCCGCGUAGGAUUAGCUAGUUGGUGUGGUAAAGGCGCACCAAGGCGACGAUCCUUAGCUGGUCUGAGUGGAUGAUCAGCCACACUGGGACCGAGACACGGCCCAGACUCCUACGGGAGGCAGCAGUGGGGAAUAUUGGACAAUGGGCGAAAGCCUGAUCCAGCAAUGCCGCGUGAGUGAUGAAGGCCCUAGGGUUGUAAAGCUCUUUUACCCGGGAUGAUAAUGACAGUACCGGGAGAAUAAGCCCCGGCUAACUCCGUGCCAGCCGCCGCCGUAA